GCUUGGUGGAUCAGUGGCGAACGGGUGAGUAACACGUGAGCAACCUGCCCUGGACUCUGGGAUAAGCGCUGGAAACGGCGUCUAAUACUGGAUAUGAGACGUGAUCGCAUGGUCGUGUUUGGAAAGAUUUUUCGGUCUGGGAUGGGCUCGCGGCCUAUCAGCUUGUUGGUGAGGUAAUGGCUCACCAAGGCGUCGACGGGUAGCCGGCCUGAGAGGGUGACCGGCCACACUGGGACUGAGACACGGCCCAGACUCCUACGGGAGGCAGCAGUGGGGAAUAUUGCACAAUGGGCGGAAGCCUGAUGCAGCAACGCCGCGUGAGGGAUGACGGCCUUCGGGUUGUAAACCUCUUUUAGCAGGGAAGAAGCGAAAGUGACGGUACCUGCAGAAAAAGCGCCGGCUAACUACGUGCCAGCAGCCGCGGUAAUACGUAGGGCGCAAGCGUUAUCCGGAAUUAUUGGGCGUAAAGAGCUCGUAGGCGGUUUGUCGCGUCUGCUGUGAAAUCCCGAGGCUCAACCUCGGGCCUGCAGUGGGUACGGGCAGACUAGAGUGCGGUAGGGGAGAUUGGAAUUCCUGGUGUAGCGGUGGAAUGCGCAGAUAUCAGGAGGAACACCGAUGGCGAAGGCAGAUCUCUGGGCCGUAACUGACGCUGAGGAGCGAAAGGGUGGGGAGCAAACAGGCUUAGAUACCCUGGUAGUCCACCCCGUAAACGUUGGGAACUAGUUGUGGGGACCAUUCCACGGUUUCCGUGACGCAGCUA
This 760-nucleotide ribosomal RNA is filed under the name Microbacterium testaceum. RNAcentral's name for it is "bacterial SSU rRNA". It matches the Rfam family "Bacterial small subunit ribosomal RNA", at positions 82 to 854 of the family's 1533-position model. The record is from RNAcentral. Lineage: Bacteria; Bacillati; Actinomycetota; Actinomycetes; Micrococcales; Microbacteriaceae.